GAUAAGAUAAGCUAAUUAAGCUAAUGGGUUCAUACCCCAGUUAUAAAGGUUACAAUCCUUUUCUUUUUA
This 69-nucleotide transfer RNA is filed under the name Eurysternus caribaeus. RNAcentral's name for it is "tRNA-Met". It matches the Rfam family "tRNA". From Rfam's summary of the family: Transfer RNA (tRNA) molecules are approximately 80 nucleotides in length. Their secondary structure includes four short double-helical elements and three loops (D, anti-codon, and T loops). Lineage: Eukaryota; Metazoa; Arthropoda; Insecta; Coleoptera; Scarabaeidae. RNAcentral also lists the same sequence under 1 other name. The record is from RNAcentral.